This 253-nucleotide ribosomal RNA is filed under the name uncultured bacterium. RNAcentral describes it as "partial 16S ribosomal RNA". It matches the Rfam family "Bacterial small subunit ribosomal RNA", at positions 524 to 776 of the family's 1533-position model. The record is from RNAcentral.
UACAGAGGUCUCAAGCGUUGUUCGGAUUCAUUGGGCGUAAAGGGUGCGUAGGUGGCGCGGUAAGUCGGGUGUGAAAUCUCGGAGCUUAACUCCGAAAUUGCAUUCGAUACUGCCGUGCUCGAGGACUGGAGAGGAGACUGGAAUUCAUGGUGUAGCAGUGAAAUGCGUAGAUAUCGUGAGGAAGACCAGUGGCGAAGGCGGGUCUCUGGACAGUUCCUGACGCUGAGGCGCGAAGGCCAGGGGAGCAAACGGG